Molecule: ribosomal RNA, 452 nt
Filed under: uncultured Micrococcineae bacterium
Lineage: Bacteria; Bacillati; Actinomycetota; Actinomycetes; Micrococcales
Description: bacterial SSU rRNA
Rfam family: Bacterial small subunit ribosomal RNA
Source: RNAcentral
GCGGCGGAGCAUGCGGAUUAAUUCGAUGCAACGCGAAGAACCUUACCAAGGCUUGACAUGCACCGGAAACCGCCAGAGAUGGUGGCUCCGUAAGGCUGGUGCACAGGUGGUGCAUGGUUGUCGUCAGCUCGUGUCGUGAGAUGUUGGGUUAAGUCCCGCAACGAGCGCAACCCUCGUCCCAUGUUGCCAGCGGGUGAUGCCGGGGACUCAUGGGAGACUGCCGGGGUCAACUCGGAGGAAGGUGGGGAUGACGUCAAAUCAUCAUGCCCCUUAUGUCUUGGGCUUCACGCAUGCUACAAUGGCCGGUACAGAGGGUUGCGAUGCCGUGAGGCGGAGCGAAUCCCAAAAAGCCGGUCUCAGUUCGGAUUGGGGUCUGCAACUCGACCCCAUGAAGUCGGAGUCGCUAGUAAUCGCAGAUCAGCAACGCUGCGGUGAAUACGUUCCCGGGCCUU